Molecule: non-coding RNA, 30 nt
Filed under: Rattus norvegicus (Norway rat)
Lineage: Eukaryota; Metazoa; Chordata; Mammalia; Rodentia; Muridae
Source: RNAcentral
UUCUUGUUUCUUUGAAAAUGGUAUCUUAAG